UCCGAAGAGGUUAAAAGCUCCGGCGGUGAAGGAUGAGCCCGCGGCCUAUCAGUUUGUUGGUGGGGUAAUGGCCCACCAAGGCGACGACGGGUAGCCGGCCUGAGAGGGCGACCGGCCACACUGGGACUGAGACACGGCCCAUACUCCUACGGGAGGCAGCAGUGGGGAAUAUUGCACAAUGGGCGAAAGCCUGAUGCAGCGACCCCGCGUGAGGGAUGACGGCCUUCGGGUUGUAAACCUCUUUCAGCAGGGAAGAAGCGCAAGUGACGGUACCUGCAGAAGAAGCGCCGGCUAACUACUUGCCAGCAGAUUUGGUAAUACGUAGGGCGCAAGCGUUGUCCGUUAUUAUUGGGCGUAAAGAGCUCGUAGGCGGCCUGUCGCGUCAGAUGUGAAAGCCCGGGGCUUAACCCCGGGUCUGCAUUCGAUACGGGCAGGCUAGAGUGUGGUAGGGGAGAUCGGAAUUCCUGGUGUAGCGGUGAAAUGCGCAGAUAUCAGGAGGAACACCGGUGGCGAAGGCGGAUCUCUGGGCCAUUACUGACGCUGAGGAGCGAAAGCGUGGGGAGCGAACAGGAUUAGAUACCCUGGUAGUCCACGCCGUAAACGUUGGGAACUAGGUGUUGGCGAC
Molecule: ribosomal RNA, 625 nt
Filed under: Streptomyces sp. Wb2n-23
Lineage: Bacteria; Bacillati; Actinomycetota; Actinomycetes; Kitasatosporales; Streptomycetaceae
Description: bacterial SSU rRNA
Rfam family: Bacterial small subunit ribosomal RNA
Source: RNAcentral